Molecule: ribosomal RNA, 216 nt
Filed under: Glomeromycotina sp.
Lineage: Eukaryota; Fungi; Glomeromycota
Description: partial small subunit ribosomal RNA
Rfam family: Eukaryotic small subunit ribosomal RNA (bases 40-216)
Source: RNAcentral
GGGUCAGUAGGUUGGUCGUGCCACCGGUACGUACUGGUCUCACUGAUUCCUCCUUCCUGAAGAACCGUAAUGCCAUUAAUUUGGUGUUGCGGGGAAACAGGACUGUUACUUUGAGAAAAUUAGAGUGUUUAAAGCAGGCUAACGCUUGAAUACAUUAGCAUGGAAUAAUGAAAUAGGACGAUCGAUCCUAUUUUGUUGGUUUCUAGGAUUGACGUA